Molecule: ribosomal RNA, 253 nt
Filed under: uncultured bacterium
Lineage: Bacteria
Description: partial 16S ribosomal RNA
Rfam family: Bacterial small subunit ribosomal RNA
Source: RNAcentral
UACGAAGGGGGCUGACGUUGCUCGGAAUCACUGGGCGUAAAGCGCACGUAGGCGGCUUUCUAAGUCAGGGGUGAAAUCCUGGAGCUCAACUCCAGAACUGCCUUUGAUACUGGAAAGCUUGAGUUCGAGAGAGGUGAGUGGAACUGCGAGUGUAGAGGUGAAAUUCGUAGAUAUUCGCAAGAACACCAGUGGCGAAGGCGGCUCACUGGCUCGAUACUGACGCUGAGGUGCGAAAGCGUGGGGAGCAAACAGG